GACGAACGCUGGCGGCGUGCCUAAUACAUGCAAGUCGAGCGGAUCUUGUCCUUCGGGAUAAGAUUAGCGGCGGACGGGUGAGUAACACGUGGGUAACCUGCCUGUAAGACUGGGAUAACAUUCGGAAACGAAUGCUAAUACCGGAUACGCGGUUUGGUCGCAUGACCAAGCCGGGAAAGAUGGAGCAAUCUAUCACUUAC
Molecule: ribosomal RNA, 200 nt
Filed under: uncultured bacterium
Lineage: Bacteria
Description: partial 16S ribosomal RNA
Rfam family: Bacterial small subunit ribosomal RNA
Source: RNAcentral